RNAcentral lists this ribosomal RNA (480 nucleotides) under uncultured bacterium. RNAcentral's name for it is "bacterial SSU rRNA". It matches the Rfam family "Bacterial small subunit ribosomal RNA", at positions 33 to 507 of the family's 1533-position model. The record is from RNAcentral.
ACGCUGGCGGCGUGCCUAACACAUGCAAGUCGAGCGAGAAUCUAUCAAUUGAUUCCUUCGGGAUGAUUUUGAUAGAGGAAAGCGGCGGACGGGUGAGUAACGCGUGAGUAACCUGCCUUACAGAGGGGGACAACAGUUGGAAACGACUGCUAAUACCGCAUAACAUAUUUUGAGGGCAUCCUCGGGAUAUCAAAGGAGCAAUCCGCUGUAAGAUGGACUCGCGUCCAAUUAGAUAGUUGGUGGGGUAACGGCCCACCAAGUCGACGAUUGGUAGCCGGACUGAGAGGUUGAACGGCCACAUUGGGACUGAGACACGGCCCAGACUCCUACGGGAGGCAGCAGUGGGGGAUAUUGCACAAUGGGGGAAACCCUGAUGCAGCAACGCCGCGUGAAGGAAGAAGGUCUUCGGAUUGUAAACUUCUGUUUUUAGUGAAGAAACAAAUGACGGUAGCUAAAGAGGAAGCCACGGCUAACUACGUG